Molecule: ribosomal RNA, 468 nt
Filed under: uncultured Leptolinea sp.
Lineage: Bacteria; Bacillati; Chloroflexota; Anaerolineae; Anaerolineales; Anaerolineaceae
Description: bacterial SSU rRNA
Rfam family: Bacterial small subunit ribosomal RNA
Source: RNAcentral
AAACUCAAAUGAAUUGACGGGGCCGCACAAGCGGUGGAGCAUGUGGUUUAAUUCGAUGCUACACGAAGAACCUUACCAGGGUUUGACAUGCAAGUGGUAGGAACCGAAAGGCGACCGACCCUUCGGGGAGCUUGCACAGGUGCUGCAUGGCUGUCGUCAGCUCGUGUCGUGAGAUGUUCGGUUAAGUCCGCUAACGAGCGCAACCCUCGCUGUGUGUUACAAGUGUCACACGGUACUGCCGGUCUUAAGCCGGAGGAAGGUGGGAUGACGUCAAGUCAGCAUGGCCUUUAUGUCCUGGGCUACACACACGCUACAAUGGCCAACACAAUAGGUUGCUAAGCCGCGAGGUGGAGCCAAUCCUCAAAGUUGGUCUCAGUUCAGAUUGCAGGCUGCAACCCGCCUGCAUGAAGAUGGAGUUGCUAGUAACCGCAGGUCGGCCAUACUGCGUUGAAUACGUUCCCGGGGCUU